RNAcentral lists this ribosomal RNA (176 nucleotides) under uncultured soil bacterium. RNAcentral describes it as "partial 16S ribosomal RNA". It matches the Rfam family "Bacterial small subunit ribosomal RNA", at positions 335 to 524 of the family's 1533-position model. The record is from RNAcentral.
ACUCCUACGGGAGGCAGCAGUGGGGAAUAUUGGUCAAUGGACCAAAAGUCUGAUCCAGCAAUUCUGUGUGCACGAUGAAGUUUUUCGGAAUGUAAAGUGCUUUCAGUUGGGCCGAAGUAAGUGACGGUACCAACAGAAGAAGCGACGGCUAAAUACGUGCCAGCAGCCGCGGUAAU